Molecule: long non-coding RNA, 676 nt
Organism: Mustela lutreola (European mink)
Lineage: Eukaryota; Metazoa; Chordata; Mammalia; Carnivora; Mustelidae
Exons: 4
Source: RefSeq, a predicted model, not a curated record
CCUGGACGUGGGUGGGGCUUCUGGGGCCUCUUCCCGGGGUGGAGUUGGCAGUGAGUGCAGUUCCUCCGCGCAGUCUCCGGCAGACCCUGGCCGUCUGCGGGUCACCGCCGCUCUGCAGUUGGUGGAAGCCUGCGCGAUUAAGAAAUGGAUAAUUUGAGAGAGAGAGAGAGAAAACACAAGCAGGGGAGUGGCAGGCAGAGGGAGAAGAAGCACACUCCUCACAGAGCAGAGAGCUCGAUCCCUGGACCCUGGAUCAUGACCUGAGCCAAAGAGAGAGAUCACAAGUAGGCAGAAAGGAAGGCAGAGAGAGAGAAGGGCAGAGGAAGCGGGCUUCCUGCUGAGCAGAGAGCCGGAUGCGGGACCUGAGAUCAUGACCUGAGUUGAAGACAGAGGCUUAACCCACUGAGUCACCCAGGGAUCGUGUCUGGAUUUUUGAAGAAUUUGAAGUCUAACAAGCAGUUAUGCAAGUUUACUAGCAAUGCAGGAAGCAGGCAGGUUAUCACCUGUCUUCUGAUUCCAAAAAUAGAGAUCUUAAAGUAGAUAAGAAUGAAGACUUUGGAGCCAGAUUGCCUCAUUCCAAAUACCAGCUCUGGUGUUUACUAGUGAUGUGGCCUUGGGCAAAUUAUUCAAACUCUAUGUCUCGAUUUCCUUAUUAAUACAGUGGGAGAAAUAAUCA